CGUACAUGGUGGACUUCCGGUUGCCCAACGGCGGCUGGAGAGGAAGCCGGUGAGAAUCCGGCGCGGUCCCGCCACUGUCACCGGGGAGCGAACCCCAAGCGAAGGUCACGGCCCACGAGCGUCAAGGGGCCGGAAGGCCGGGGGACGCUGCGAUCCGGGAGCCAGGAGACUCUCGCCGCCGGUACGUCGAGCCA
This 194-nucleotide non-coding RNA is filed under the name Streptomyces sp. Lineage: Bacteria; Bacillati; Actinomycetota; Actinomycetes; Kitasatosporales; Streptomycetaceae. The record is from RNAcentral. RNAcentral also lists the same sequence under 1 other name.